GGACGAACGCUGGCGGCGUGCCUAACACAUGCAAGUCGAACGAGGUCCAAGGAAGCUUGCUUCCUGAAGACCUAGUGGCGAACGGUGAGUAACACGUGAGAAACCUGCCUCGGAGUGGGGAAUAACUCGGGGAAACUCGAGCUAAUACCGCAUACCUUCACAUGAUCGCAUGGUCGAGUGAAGAAAGAAUUUCGCUCUGAGAGGGUCUCGCGGCCUAUCAGCUUGUUGGUGGGGUAAACGGCCUACCAAGGCAACGACGGGUAGCUGGUUUGAGAGAACGAUCAGCCACACUGGGACUGAGACACGGCCCAGACUCCUACGGGAGGCAGCAGUGGGAAUCUUGCGCAAUGGGCGAAAGCCUGACGCAGCAACGCCGCGUGCGGGAUGACGGCCUUCGUGGUUGUAAACCGCUUUCAGCAGGGACGAAAAUGACGGUACCUGCAGAAGAAGCCCCGGCUAACUACGUG
RNAcentral lists this ribosomal RNA (467 nucleotides) under uncultured bacterium. Its description in RNAcentral is "bacterial SSU rRNA". It matches the Rfam family "Bacterial small subunit ribosomal RNA", at positions 27 to 507 of the family's 1533-position model. The record is from RNAcentral.